Molecule: ribosomal RNA, 253 nt
Filed under: uncultured bacterium
Lineage: Bacteria
Description: partial 16S ribosomal RNA
Rfam family: Bacterial small subunit ribosomal RNA
Source: RNAcentral
UACGAGGGGGGCGAGCGUUGUUCGGAUUGACUGGGCGUAAAGGGCGUGUAGGCGGUCGGCCAAGUCUGAUGUGAAAGCCCGAGGCUCAGCCUCGGAAGUGCGUCGGAAACUAGUCGGCUGGAGCGCGAUAGAGGAGGGUGGAAUUCCUGGUGUAGCGGUGAAAUGCGUAGAUAUCAGGAGGAACACCGGCGGCGAAGGCGGCCCUCUGGAUCGUUGCUGACGCUGAUACGCGAAAGCGUGGGGAGCAAACAGG